AAAUUUUCUAGUAAUUAUAAGCAAGAUCAUAUAAACAGAUCUCGACACUUGCUAGAGAAAACUGUCCGAAAAUUGAGUCGUGAGAAAUCAACAUGGAAGACAAUGAAGUUCUAGUUCUUUAGAGAUAGAAAUGAACAGAGUGUCUCUGCUCGGUGUUUCGAUCUCAACACUCAUAUACAAAAAGAAGCACCGAAGCGACUCAAUUUUCAGAUGGUUUUCCCUAGCAAGCGUCGAGAAUCGAGCAUGUUAUGUGAGGUCUGUCUAAUGGUGAGGCCCAGAUACUUCACCUGGAUUCUCAUCUCGACUUCCGCCUCCUCCAACUGUAGGUUAUACCUGGC
This 338-nucleotide unclassified non-coding RNA is filed under the name Bombus terrestris (buff-tailed bumblebee). Its description in RNAcentral is "misc RNA ENSBTSG00005038164.1". The record is from RNAcentral. Lineage: Eukaryota; Metazoa; Arthropoda; Insecta; Hymenoptera; Apidae.